Phasianus colchicus (ring-necked pheasant) is the source of this 3786-nucleotide long non-coding RNA. RefSeq lists it as uncharacterized. The record is from RefSeq and is a predicted model, not a curated record. NCBI's taxonomy places the organism in Eukaryota, Metazoa, Chordata, Aves, Galliformes, Phasianidae.
GAACUUCAGAUAAAAAAAAAGAACUUGGACAGUGAUGAUGUGGAUUUCAGUUUACAAACGCUUUACCUAGCAAAACAAUCCUUGUAAUAUGCAGAGAGAAGUUUUCCUGUUUCGUACUGCACCAGAUCUACCUUAUUUCUGUAGACCUUUACCUGCAGUGGCUGACAGGCUGAUCCCUAUUUGCACAGCAUUUUGUCAGGAAUGGAAUAAAUCAGACUUGCUAGCUUGUCACAUAGUCUACCAUUUUCUGCCUGGCCUUCAACAGUGAGAUUUACAGAACAAAUGCAAAUACUCUGGCUGUUAGUGAUGCACACUGCACUGCUGAUGAGGUGAGCAACACCACCUCCCAUUUGCAUUGUUACAGAGGGUUCCAUGGUCAGCAGGAGAACUGUUAUGUCACAGCCUGAACAGAUGAUUGAGCUCCCAGUGAAGGGGUGGCUGGCCCAGGAAGCACAGGUGCAAACAACUUGCCUGUGAUUCCCACCUGACCAGAAAAGGACGGACUCUGGGUCCACCCUUCCUCCCCCUCCCCCCAGGCUCAUUUAAGGGCUGGUCUCCAUGGGGGAAAAUGUCUUAUGGAUGUAGGCUGCUUCUUGAGGAGCGUUCCCCAGCCAGAGACCUUCAUCAGCAACUGGGAGCUCAAGAUUUAUGAUCGUCUUACUAGCAGAACUACUCUUCCUCCCCAGUAAAGCUUCAAGAAUGAAAUGAAGGGCAUAUUGUGAAUAAGAUUCAUCUGAAGCACAGAUUCUCUGCAGAUCCUCUGCAGCUUCCUCUGCUCAGUCAAAGACUGUGAAGGAGUAAGAUAAGAGUCUUUUGUAUUCACCUCUGAACCAGGAGCCAUAGCUCCUCACUACCCUGAGAAGCUUCCAGUGAGGAUGGUCAAGCACUGCAGUGAGCAGCCCAGAGCGCCCAUGUGGUCCCAACCCCUCUCCACAGGGAGACAUCCAGAAUGUGCACAGCAGCCAGCUCCAGAUUAACCCUUCUGUGAGCAGCACAGCAACCUCCAGAGGUCAAUUCCCAUCUCAGCAGAUUUGUGAUUCCCCUCUCCGUGUUCCUGGACAUCCUGAGUAGGACACAAAUACCAUCUUCAUUUCUUUAAUUGCUUAUACAAAUCUGUAUCUGCCUCUAGAUGUUGUUAGCUAACAAGUUAAGGUUUCGUAUGUCUGGGGCCAUCUUUGUCUACCUUGUGUCCUGGUGUCUUUCACAGAGAGAAUAGGUUUGGCUCCUGUUCUCUGGCAUGUCUUUGUUCUCAGACAUCAUCUCACUGAUGUCAUUAGGCUGCAGCAGAUCUUAAUGUAGUCCCCAAGCACCUUCUUUAUGGGCCAUGUAGGCUCUGCAGAUGUAGUAAAACAAAUGUAAAGACCAAUGUGGCCUUUCUUGAACUUUCUCAAUUUUUCCCAAGAGCAUCUGAGGACUGAUCAUCCACAUCCAGCUAUCCCUGCUGAUCUACACUAUCAGUAAUUACAGGCUGUGCAUUAGAGGCCCCCCCACAAUUACUCAAAGAAUUCAAAAAGACAAGAAGUUUUUCAGUACUGCUUAUGUCAGUAUCCUGAAGCACAAUUUAAUCUUCCCAAGCAGUGGUUUGCCAGUCUCACACAUGGUAUGUACUCUGUGCUCUACAGAGGCUUGUACCAAGUCUUCAGCAGUUUUGAGCUGACACAGAAACUCUGGGCCUGGGUGGUGGUGAGAACCAACAGUGGUGAGAAUCUCCCUAAUUGUUACUCUAAAGAUAAUCUUUAGCAGUAUCUAACCUUUUCAUUUAUUUUUUUUUUCCAUCUUGCAAAUGUGUUUAAGACGAUUUAUUCAUUUGCUUUUUUCAGACAACUAGUACAUUAAUUUAUAAAGUCGUUUGAUUGAAGAUUUUUUACUAAUGUCUAAAGUGCAAAGUUGUGCCGGAACAAACUUAUUGUUUGGAACUAAAGUUACAUUUCUAUUUAGCAGUUUAAAGCUGGUGGCCAUCUUAUAACAAAGGUUUUAGCCUUCCUUAGUAGCUUUCUGUCAUUUUAUAAUACAGUCUGAACACUGAAGAUAAAUGGUGAAGAGCCCUCACCUCAGUUGUUAGUAAAUAGCGCAGAACACCAACAUGGCUCAUUUCCUAUUUGAUUCAUUGUGUUGGUUUUCUCCUUAUUUAGAAGUCGUGAAAACAUCUCCUUUUAUCUCUUCCUCCUGUUUAAGACCAUAAAGGCUGUAUUGUUUCUACUGCACAAUGUAAUAGUGUAGUGGUGAUUAAGGCAAUUAAAACUUUCCAUAGAAGGAUUAGAGUUGGUUGCAAAAUCCUGAAGUUCUGAAUGUCUCCUGAUACUCAUCUUUUUUUUUUUUUUUCUUUUCAAAAUGAAAGGCUACUGAAAUGCAGUGGAUAAUUCCCACUCAUAAUAAGUACAUAAGGAAAAAAUAAAUAAAAAUCUAGCAGGCUUAAAAUCGUAGCUCAGUGUCAUAGUAAUGCUUUUCCUAUUAACGAAUAAACGAAAAGUAAUUUCAUUACUAAAUGUGCCGAAGAUUUGGAGACAAGAUGAAUUUAGACAGCUGAUAUAUCGGUAUCCAGUUACUGGAAAUCUGUCCUGAUUAAUUCAUUUACACUGAAAAUCAAAAGUUAGGCAUUUCAAUAUCCUGAUUAGCAUAUCAAGGCUUUAAUAUGUUAUCUUUCCAACUAAGUGUCUUUCCUACCUCAGUGUUUUAAGUAAAUGGUCACGCUUUUCCACCUCUGAAUAGGAAUCCACUGCAAAAUUACCAUGCAGAGACAGUAUUUCCCUUUUACAAAAGGGGCCAUAUGGUUUUUUUUUCAGUAAUACAAUUUCCUGCUGUUAUAUCUGUUACUAUUGAGACACAUAACAAGCUUUAAACUUUUUAAAAACAUGGAAGUAAUGGAUGUGCUGUCAGCAAUAUGAUCUUUGUUUCCUUCAUUUUAAAUUCUGUUUCAGAUUUUUUUUCAGGAAGUCAGUUUUCUAAAUAAUCCAAACCUGUUUCUCUUUUGUCCAAAAAAGAAUGUAGUUUGUUCCUCCCUCUUCGUUUAUGCUAUCAGUCUGCUGUUUGUGAUAUUUUUAUCAAGUUGAAAUGAAAUUACCCAUAUUGUAAUUCAAUACCAUAUUUAAAAAUUGAUUUGCCUUGUAAAAAUAGCUUGGAGUGCUUAUGCUGGCUAGACUGUGUGACUUUCUGAGAUCUCACCUAUGAGAGACUAAAAAACAUUUGUCUGUACCCAAUUACAAGAGUCUUGUGCAUGCCAUUAAACAGAAAUGGAAUGCCAGGAGUUUGUAGGGAGUUUUAAAGAUACAAUGUUUAAUGCAAUACAAAAUUUUCCCAAGAUGAAAUGUAAACACAUUCCAGUGAGGUCAUUCAUUCACAAGGUUUACAGCAUAUAUUAGAUGAGUUCUUGCUUUUAUUGAAUAGUUCAGGUCAUAGAAUUCAUUGUCUCAGUUUGAAUGAUUAUUAUUCUAGUAUUGGUUAAUUGAGGCUUAGAAGUCAAAAGGCAUGUCAUGCAUUUGUGUUGGUUGGUUCUUCUCAGAUAACUUGCUUGCUUGUUCUUGUUUGAUCCCUGUUUGUUUUCCACAGUGAGGGACUGCAUUUCACAUUUCUGUCCUGUAAUCAGUCACGAUUUCAAAUGCUUCUAAUCUUAAUUUAGGUGCUCACUUUUAAAUUAAGAUUUGGAGAUUCAUUGUACUGGAAGAUCUGAUGUGAAACUGCAUAAGGAGCUUGUGCUGUUGUACUCAAAUCCUUUCUUCCCCUGCGUAUAUGUUGAUAUACAGAGUGGCAUGAUAGCUCAGUCACUCUUCAGUGUAAAUAUAAAUUACA